GCAAGUCGAGCGGCAGCAGGGAAAGUAGCUUGCUGCUUUUGCCGGCGAGCGGCGGACGGGUGAGUAAUGCCUGGGGAUCUGCCCAGUCGAGGGGGAUAACAGUUGGAAACGACUGCUAAUACCGCCUACGCCCUACGGGGGAAAGGAGGGGACCUUCGGGCCUUUCGCGAUUGGAUGAACCCAGGUGGGAUUAGCUGGUUGGUGGGGUAAUGGCUCACCAAGGCGACGAUCCCUAGCUGGACUGAGAGGAUGAUCAGCCACACUGGAACUGAGACACGGUCCAGACUCCUACGGGAGGCAGCAGUGGGGAAUAUUGCACAAUGGGGGAAACCCUGAUGCAGCCAUGGCGCGUGUGUGAAGAAGGCCUUCGGGUUGUAAAGCACUUUCAGCGAGGAGGAAAGGUUGUUGGCUAGUAUCCAGCGACUGUGACGUUACUCGCAGAAGAAGCACCGGCUAACUCCGUGCCAGCAGCCACGGUAAUACGGAGGGUGCAAGCGUUAAUCAGAAUUACUGGACGUAAAGCGCACGCACGCGGUUGGAUAACUUACAUGUGAAAGCCCCGGGCUCAACCUGGCAAUUGCAUUUGAAACUGUCCAGCUAGAGUCUUGUAUAGGGGGGUAGAAUUCCAGGUGUAGCGGUGAAAUGCGUAAAGAUCUGGAGGAAUACCGGUGGCCAACGCGGCCCCCUGGA
Molecule: ribosomal RNA, 690 nt
Filed under: Aeromonas sp. UA-JF4213
Lineage: Bacteria; Pseudomonadati; Pseudomonadota; Gammaproteobacteria; Aeromonadales; Aeromonadaceae
Description: bacterial SSU rRNA
Rfam family: Bacterial small subunit ribosomal RNA
Source: RNAcentral